This 775-nucleotide ribosomal RNA is filed under the name uncultured bacterium. RNAcentral describes it as "bacterial SSU rRNA". It matches the Rfam family "Bacterial small subunit ribosomal RNA", at positions 8 to 789 of the family's 1533-position model. The record is from RNAcentral.
AGAGUUUGAUCCUGGCUCAGGACGAACGCUGGCGGCGUGCCUAACACAUGCAAGUCGAGCGGAGAGCAGUUGAAAGUUUACUGGAUGCUGUUUCUUAGCGGCGGACGGGUGAGUAACACGUGGGCAACCUGCCCUUGAGCGGGGGAUAACACCGGGAAAUCGGUGCUAAUACCGCAUAACAUACAAGUACCGCAUGGUGCGAGUAUCAAAGGAGAAAUCCACUCAAGGAUGGGCCCGCGGCUGAUUAGCUAGUUGGUAAGGUAAAGGCUUACCAAGGCGACGAUCAGUAGCCGACCUGAGAGGGUGACCGGCCACACUGGAACUGAGACACGGUCCAGACUCCUACGGGAGGCAGCAGUGGGGAAUAUUGCGCAAUGGGGGGAACCCUGACGCAGCAACGCCGCGUGGAGGAAGAAGGUCUUCGGAUUGUAAACUCCUGUCUUCUGGGACGAUAAUGACGGUACCAGAGGAGGAAGCCACGGCUAACUACGUGCCAGCAGCCGCGGUAAUACGUAGGUGGCGAGCGUUGUCCGGAAUUACUGGGCGUAAAGAGCGCGUAGGCGGUUUUUUAAGUCAGAUGUGAAAAUCCAGGGCUUAACUCUGGGCGUGCAUUUGAAACUGGGGAACUAGAGUGCAGGAGAGGUAAGUGGAAUUCCUAGUGUAGCGGUGAAAUGCGUAGAUAUUAGGAGGAACACCAGUGGCGAAAGCGACUUACUGGACUGUAACUGACGCUGAGGCGCGAAAGCGUGGGUAGCGAACAGGAUUAGAUACCCUG